RNAcentral lists this unclassified non-coding RNA (165 nucleotides) under uncultured fungus. Its description in RNAcentral is "sequence contains ITS1". Lineage: Eukaryota; Fungi. The record is from RNAcentral.
UUAACUAUUUUAAAAUACUCAGACGACAUAAACAUUCAGAGUUUGGGGUUCUCUAACGGGCGUCAGCCCGCUAAAGCAACAAAGUUAUUGAUACGCAAGGGUGGGAGAUCUACCCGUGAGGGCAUGAACUCUGUAAUGAUCCUUCCGCAGGUUCACCUACGGAAA